UGUUUAUUAAAAACACAGCACUCUGCAAACACGAAAGUGGACGUAUAGGGUGUGAUGCCUGCCCGGUGCUGGAAGGUUAAUUGAUGGUGUAAUCGAAAGAGAAGCUCCUGAUCGAAGCCCCAGUAAACGGCGGCCGUAACUAUAACGGUCCUAAGGUAGCGAAAUUCCUUGUCGGGUAAGUUCCGACCUGCACGAAUGGCAUAAUGAUGGCCAGGCUGUCUCCACCCGAGACUCAGUGAAAUUGAAAUCGCCGUGAAGAUGCGGUGUACCCGCGGCUAGACGGAAAGACCCCGUGAACCUUUACUAUAGCUUGACACUGAACAUUGAAUUUUGAUGUGUAGGAUAGGUGGGAGACUUUGAAGUAGUCACGCCAGUGAUUAUGGAGUCGUCCUUGAAAUACCACCCUUUAACGUUUGAUGUUCUAACGAAGAUUACGAAACGUGGUCUCGGACAGUGUCUGGUGGGUAGUUUGACUGGGGCGGUCUCCUCCCAAAGAGUAACGGAGGAGCACGAAGGUUUGCUAAUCACGGUCGGACAUCGUGAGGUUAGUGCAAUGGUAUAAGCAAGCUUAACUGCGAGACAGACAAGUCGAGCAGGUACGAAAGUAGGUCAUAGUGAUCCGGUGGUUCUGAAUGGAAGGGCCAUCGCUCAACGGAUAAAAGGUACUCCGGGGAUAACAGGCUGAUACCGCCCAAGAGUUCAUAUCGACGGCGGUGUUUGGCACCUCGAUGUCGGCUCAUCACAUCCUGGGGCUGAAGUAGGUCCCAAGGGUAUGGCUGUUCGCCAUUUAAAGUGGUACGCGAGCUGGGUUUAGAACGUCGUGAGACAGUUCGGUCCCUAUCUGCCGUGGGCGUUGGAGAAUUGAAAGGGGCUGCUCCUAGUACGAGAGGACCGGAGUGGACGCACCGCUGGUGUUCCGGUUGUGUCGCCAGACGCAUUGCCGGGUAGCUAAGUGCGGAAGAGAUAAGUGCUGAAAGCAUCUAAGCACGAAACUUGCCAAGAGAUGAGUUCUCCC
Molecule: ribosomal RNA, 1015 nt
Filed under: human metagenome
Description: bacterial LSU rRNA
Rfam family: Bacterial large subunit ribosomal RNA
Source: RNAcentral